RNAcentral lists this ribosomal RNA (440 nucleotides) under uncultured bacterium. RNAcentral's name for it is "partial 16S ribosomal RNA". It matches the Rfam family "Bacterial small subunit ribosomal RNA", at positions 339 to 795 of the family's 1533-position model. The record is from RNAcentral.
CUACGGGGGGCUCCAGCAGGGAAUCUUGCGCAAUGGGCGAAAGCCUGACGCAGCGACGCCGCGUGGGGGAUGAAGGCCUUCGGGUUGUAAACCCCUUUCAGGAGGGAAGAAAAUGACGGUACCUCCAGAAGAAGCCCCGGCCAACUACGUGCCAGCAGCCGCGGUAAUACGUAGGGGGCGAGCGUUGUCCGGAUUUAUUGGGCGUAAAGGGCUCGUAGGCGGCUUGACAAGUCGGCCGUGAAAACCCAGGGCUCAACCCUGGGACGCCGGUCGAUACUGUCAUGGCUAGGGUCCGGUAGAGGAGAACGGAAUUCCCGGUGUAGCGGUGAAAUGCGCAGAUAUCGGGAGGAACACCAGUAGCGAAGGCGGUUCUCUGGGCCGGUACCGACGCUGAGGAGCGAAAGCGUGGGGAGCAAACAGGAUUAGAUACCCCCGUAGUC